This 1217-nucleotide long non-coding RNA is filed under the name Bos taurus (domestic cattle). RNAcentral describes it as "long non-coding RNA NONBTAT000793". The record is from RNAcentral. Lineage: Eukaryota; Metazoa; Chordata; Mammalia; Artiodactyla; Bovidae.
CAAAGUACUGGAACUCUUAUCCAGUUUUUAAAUUAUGUUUUUUACUGUAAUAUUUUUAUGUCACUGUUUUCUGCACAUUAAUAAUAUUUGUGAAUUUACAGCUCCCAGAGUAGUUGUUGUUAACUUCUGCCCUCCUUAAAUUAGUAACAAUAACUUACUACUGCCACAGUUGAUCUGGGUGCAGUGGGGUCUGUUUUGCACAGAGCUUCCAUGGUCACUGCUAAGCACUAGCCUGCCCUCUAGCAUUAAUUGACCAUCUACUAUAUUCUGAGCACACAUACUUAGAAAUUAUGUUAAUCUUAGUGCUCAACUCUUGGAGAGAUAAAUCUCUAUUGGACUUUUAAGUAAGAAAGGAAAAGAAAAUAAAAAUACCUAUAAAUGAGCCUGGGUGUCCUAUGAAAAAUAAUAAUUCAUAAUUUAAGGAAAUUCUUAUCUUAGUAGUAUGAAUGUUGAUAAACUAUUCUAAACUUAUCUCCUAUAUUUGUGUCCUUCUGAUUACUAAAGUCUAUUUAAGAAAUCAUUUUUCUAUGGAGUUUUUAUUUUAAAUAAAACAAAAGCUUCAUGAAUCAUUGACUAUAAAACUAUGGUAUGGGGGUCAUCUUGGAUCUAAUGUUUUUAGCUUUGUUAAUGCUUUUCAUCAUUACAAAGCACAAUUACUCCUUCUAUUAACCCUUUCAUCACAAGACCAGAGGAGAACUGACCCCAGAUAAGAUUUGAAUUUCAAUUCAAGAAUGAGCUUUAGGUAGAUGAGGGACAGCCCCAUUAUCAAGGGGCCAUUCUCUUGCCAAUGCAGCAUCUUUUUGCACUUUUGGAUUUCAUAUUUAUGCUAAAUGAUGUUUGGUACCCCUAGAAACUUCUAGAUAACUUUUGUUCUAUUUACAUUACUGUAUUUGCUACUGAACAUUUUCAAAUGCUAAAAAUCUAAAGCAACUCAAAUCAAAAUGAUAUCUCAUCCUAAGACAAUUUUGUUUCAAGAGUUCUUUUUUGUUUGUUUGUUUUAUGAUCCAGAAGAUGCCCAGUACAGAAUAUUUGAGAGAGAAGGAGAAACAUACAUUGGAGAGCAAGGAGAAAUCACUCUCUAAUAUUAAAAACUAAAGUAUCCAAUGUUAAAAAGAAAUCUCAAAGGUUUUAGAUAUAUGGUAUAAAGACCUUCUGCACCCAAUUAAACAAACAAACAAACAAAAAGACAUGAUAUAUAGAGUGUCCAAUUACAUAAU